AUGCCCCAGAGGUUCGGCCGGUCCCGCGUCGCUCAUUCUCGCUUCUUCCUCUGCUCGUGGCUCGCGUUGACUGCGAAAGGCCACAUGCCUCGUCCAACCACAUCCUCUCACUGCCUUGCUCCUCCACCACCACACCUCUCCUUUCUUCCUCCCCUCCCUGCCAGCCGGGCACUCUCCCUCUCCCGCCUCCGUUCGCCGCAGGUGAGUGCGCGGCUGCGGGUGUCUGGCCAACAGCAACAACUGCGGCAGUUCGGCGCCCGGAGAAGCCGCGCGUUGGGCGAUGUGGAGGAGGACGACCUGCCGCUUCCUCAUUCGGGCGUCCUCCUCUGCGCCGUCGAGAGACGUCCAUGGCCGCCCGAUGCCCGAGCGCCGCCGGCCAAGGACGCGCCGGCGUCCAGACCCCCUCCACGCCAUCCCCAUCUCGUUGGAGACCUACACCAAGUCCCAUCCAGCGCCCGCACCACCCUUCGGGCCCGCCCCGCAGCUCUGCAGCCCGAGCGCUUCGGCCGCCUCGCACCCGAAGCAGAGGAGAGGAGCUCCCUACCACGAGCCUCUCCAGCCCGGACAAACCAGCAGGCCGACCCCGCCUCCUUCUCACUUCCCUCCCCCUUCCUUUUUUUCCGCCGGGACGCAUCAUCCCUUCCUUCGCUUCUGCGGCGUGGAAGCCGACAGCAAGCUGCAGCCUGUGCCAGGCGAUGGAGAAGGCAAAUGGAGAAGCGGUGGUGGUGCCCGGCGGCGAAGCAGUUUAAUUAA
This 753-nucleotide ribosomal RNA is filed under the name Triticum aestivum (bread wheat). RNAcentral's name for it is "partial small subunit ribosomal RNA". The record is from RNAcentral. Lineage: Eukaryota; Viridiplantae; Streptophyta; Magnoliopsida; Poales; Poaceae.